AUACGGAGGGUGCGAGCGUUAAUCGGAAUUACUGGGCGUAAAGCGCGCGUAGGCGGCUAAUUAAGUCAAAUGUGAAAUCCCCGAGCUUAACUUGGGAAUUGCAUUCGAUACUGGUUAGCUAGAGUGUGGGAGAGGAUGGUAGAAUUCCAGGUGUAGCGGUGAAAUGCGUAGAGAUCUGGAGGAAUACCGAUGGCGAAGGCAGCCAUCUGGCCUAACACUGACGCUGAGGUGCGAAAGCAUGGGGAGCAAACAGGAUUAGAGACCCGAGUAGUCC
Molecule: ribosomal RNA, 274 nt
Filed under: uncultured bacterium
Lineage: Bacteria
Description: partial 16S ribosomal RNA
Rfam family: Bacterial small subunit ribosomal RNA
Source: RNAcentral